This is an RNA transcript of Microplitis mediator, 2746 nucleotides long. It is a transcript of the gene named AP-1 complex subunit sigma-2, with no coding region annotated. NCBI's taxonomy places the organism in Eukaryota, Metazoa, Arthropoda, Insecta, Hymenoptera, Braconidae. The transcript is spliced from 6 exons. The record is from RefSeq and is a predicted model, not a curated record.
UUCUGUACAUAAAAUUUUAUUGCAACUACAUUUUUAAAUUAUCGCUUUAUAAUGAGUCAGUCUUAUGACGUUUUAAAAACAUCAGUCGUUUCUUGAGAAUACAACCUGGCAUUGAAGGUUUUCUUUGCUGUUAUUAGUGUUCAUUUUAGUGUUAAAUAAUAAUUUUUAGUCAGCAUGAUGCAAUUUAUGUUAUUAUUCAGCCGUCAAGGUAAAUUACGAUUACAAAAAUGGUAUGUAGCACAUCCAGAUAAACUGAAGAAAAAAAUAACACGGGAAUUGAUCACGACAAUUCUCGCAAGAAAACCUAAAAUGUCAAGUUUUCUUGAAUGGAAAGAUGUCAAAGUUGUUUAUAAAAGAUACGCCAGUUUAUACUUUUGUUGUGCUAUUGAACAAAACGACAAUGAAUUAUUGACAUUAGAAAUUAUACAUCGAUAUGUUGAAUUAUUGGAUAAAUAUUUUGGAAGUGUAUGUGAGUUGGAUAUCAUUUUCAAUUUCGAAAAAGCCUAUUUCAUCCUAGAUGAGCUGCUGGUCGGUGGCGAAAUACAGGAGACCAGUAAAAAAAAUGUAUUAAAGGCUAUCGCAGCGCAGGAUUUACUGCAGGAGGAUGAAGCUGUCGAAGGUGCUCUACGGGAAAUAGGUCUUUUGUAAAAGCUCCGAUGUAGUGUCUUCCUCCUCAUCAAACAUCAUCGAGAUCAUCAACUUCUCAGCCAAUCUUACGCCUACCAACGAUGCCACCGCCCAUCUCGCCUUGUGCAUAAUUUUAAAUAAAAAUUUUAAUAAUAUAAUAAACAUCCAUUAAAAUACUUGCCAAUAUUAUAUUGCGUUACUAAUUCCAAAAGGGCUUAUAUUUUUAUACAUUAGGAAACUCUCUAAAGCCAAAAGGGUGUAUAAUUUUUUUUUCAUCGCCAAUCAUUUUGUAGACUUAUUUUAUACACAGAAAAAAAGUAUUUCUUGGUGCAAGAAAUAUUUUGCACUACGACUUGAAGACAAAAGUUUUCUUACGGCUGGAAAAAAUUUUAUUUUUGCCCCAAGAAAAUUUUUGUUUUCAGUAAAUAAUGCAAAAAUUUCUUGAGACGAGUAAAAAUUAUUUGGGCCAAGAAGUCUUUUUUUUCUGUGUAGGUAAAAUUUGAAAAAAUAAAUUUUUAGCUUUAGAAUGAGUCGACAAUAUGAUUAGCAGUGAAAAAAAAAAUUAUACGCCCUUUUGGUUUUAAAUUUAAAAGGGCGUAUAAAAAUCUAAGUCCUUUUGUAAUUAGUGACGCGAUAUACUACUCGCGAUCCAAUUUAUCACGAGAUUCCACAUAUUUUUAUACUAAAUUUUCCAUGUGCUUCUAUAAAAAAAAAUUAUAAUAUAUAUAUAAUUUAUUAAUAUAUUAAACCAAAAGUAAUAUAUUUUACCAUUAGCAAAAAAAAUGUAGAUAAUAGUUUUAUUUGUUAUUUAUGAUAAAGAAACACUCCAUUAAUUAUUAAUUACAAUUAUUAUUAUUAUUGUCUAAUUGUAGUGUAGGGUAGAAAAUUUGGUGGCAAUAAAAAUUGAAUGUGUAUCAAACAAAAUUAAAAAUUUUACAUCAAUGUAUUCUAUUAUUUUAUAAUAUAACAGAUUUUAAAUUUCGAUACCUGCAACAAUAAAAUGAGUAUUUUAAAAAUUUAUACAAUCUUUAGCUCAUAAAUCACCGAAAGCUUACAAAGAAGAAAAAAAAUUUGUUAAUGCACUUUAUAAACUAUUAUUUUUGUUUCAUGUAUGAUCGUUAUAUUUAUUUGUUAUUAAUAUUUAUUUUAAUUGCACAAAUAAUUGUUUAGUCAUAUGAAAAGGGUUCAGUUCGCCAUUUGAAGCUGCUUCGAGAAGAUAUUAUUUACCGAGUAGGAGGAAACACCCCAAGGAUUUUUUGAAGACCAUGGACUUGGAUAAUUUAUAAUUUUUUAUAUAAAUAGCUCUCUACCCUGACUAAUAUAAUAAUUGUCAAGGUUUUUUUUUUUAUUAUUAUCAUUCCGAUCCGCACUUGUUUCAAUUAUUUUUUAUUAUUAGUUUUAUUAGCAGGAUAAUUUUAGCACUUUAUUCGUGAUACAACGAAUUUUAUUUACAUUAUUGAUAUUUAUGUAAUACUAUUUUUAAAAAUUAAUCAGCAAUAUGUUUAUUAUUUAACGCACAAUCAUAGUUUAUAAGUAAACGAAACCUGUGACUAAACUGGUGCAUUUUAAGUAAUAAUUAAAUUACUAUUAAGUAUUAAUUUUAAUUUAUUGAUUACGAGAUGUUACAAUCAAUUAUAUCAAAUUUAAACAUGAGAUAAAUAUAUAGUACAUAAAUAUAUAUAUCAUAGUAAUAAUUAUGUUAUAUAUUUAAUAUUAUUAUUUGUUUUGUAAAAAAAAUACAAAAAUUUUAUUUGUAUUUGGAAGAUCAAAAUUGUUUUAUGAAAAAUUUUUUUAAAAUCAUGCUUUAUGCUCCGUCCACAAUGCAAUGUAUGAUGAUAUUAAUAAAUUUGACAGUUAAAUUUAAAAUUUUAUAAAUUUUAAAUCAUAAAUUAAAAUUAAGUUAACAAGCAACCGUAGUCACUACGUGACUGCCCGAGUAUUACUACAAAAUUUAUUGAAUUUGAAUUGAAUUUAACUGUUUAUUGAAAUCUACACUCUAGAAUAUUUUGUUUAUUUCUGUUAUCAUUAAAACUUAAUGAGCCCAAUCUCAUCAUUGACUCGAAAACUGAUUGAUUUCAAUGAUUGUAUAAUCAUGGGAUUCUUAAAAAAAAAACUACAC